UUAGUGAGGUAUUUUAAACGAAACUAAGUAUUUUAUGUUGGUAAUGUGAACAUAGUUAAAGAUGGCCGCAAAUAGAUUUCGCGAAAUAGUUCGAAUCAGCCCGAAAACAUUUGAAUUCAUUCUUAAUUUAAUAAAAUACGACGAAAUUUUUAAUGACUGCUCUUGUAAGCGGCAAAGAAGCAACCAUAACAAGAAUUGCAAGUUUGUUUGGUGUAGUACCCAUCCGAUGGAGUAUUCCACAGUACUCUGAAGCUAAAAAACCAAUUUUUAUACUGGCCGGGCGAUCAGGACCGUAAAACUCUAAUUGCUGAAACCUUACACGAGCUACCGUAUUGCAUUGGCUAUGUGGACGGAACGGAAGUUAAACUUGCCGAAAAACCUUUCCAGGAUCCUAAAGCGUAUUUUUCGCGAAAACAUAUUUACACUCUCAAAGUUCAGGGUGUUUGUGACCAGAAAUUAAGAAUACGUCACAUGGUACUUGGAUAUUCAGGCAGUGUUCAUGACACGAGGGUCUACAACAACUGUCCUUUGACUACUAACACCUCAGAAAUGCUUAAAAAAGCGGAGUGGUUAGCUGGCGAAAGUAAACUCAAGAGAAGUCAGCCCACAACAGCGAAAUACUUUUAACAGAAACACAGUAUAUACAGUAAUAAACCUUUUCGCAGUUUUUCACCAAUUGGUCCCCAAAGAGAGAUAAAUCAACUGUCAAACUUUGUAUGAAAAUCUAUUUAACCAAAGGUUAUUACUUUAUCAAAAGAUUUUGGUGAUUAAACGUAUACGUUUUAGCAAAAUUCAACCCUGACAGACUGCCAAGAAGUCGAUUUUGCUACGAACACAUAAAAAGCAAAUUAGCACAAUAAAAUGAAACGUAACU
This is an RNA transcript of Rhagoletis pomonella (apple maggot), 874 nucleotides long. RefSeq lists it as uncharacterized. The transcript is spliced from 2 exons. The record is from RefSeq and is a predicted model, not a curated record. Lineage: Eukaryota; Metazoa; Arthropoda; Insecta; Diptera; Tephritidae.